This 253-nucleotide ribosomal RNA is filed under the name uncultured bacterium. RNAcentral's name for it is "partial 16S ribosomal RNA". It matches the Rfam family "Bacterial small subunit ribosomal RNA", at positions 524 to 776 of the family's 1533-position model. The record is from RNAcentral.
UACGUAGGGGGCGAGCGUUGUUCGGAUUUACUGGGCGUAAAGGGUGCGUAGGCGGUCGGGUAAGUCUGGUGUGAAAUCUUCGAGCUUAACUCGGAAACUGCAUUGGAUACUAUUCGGCUAGAGAGUUGGAGGGGGGAUUGGAAUACUUGGUGUAGCAGUGAAAUGCGUAGAUAUCAAGUGGAACACCAGUGGCGAAGGCGAAUCCCUGGACAACUUCUGACGCUGAGGCACGAAAGCUAGGGGAGCAAACAGG